Molecule: long non-coding RNA, 983 nt
Filed under: Macaca fascicularis (crab-eating macaque)
Lineage: Eukaryota; Metazoa; Chordata; Mammalia; Primates; Cercopithecidae
Description: lncRNA (ENSMFAG00000053073.1)
Source: RNAcentral
GGUUCCACAGUUCUCUUCCGUGACCCACGGCUUCUAAUAGAGCUAUAACACUUACCACAUGGCCCAAGAUUCCAUUCCUUGGAAUCUGUGAGGCCAAGAACCCCAGGUCAAAGAACACAAGGCUUGCCACCAUCUUGGAAACAGCCGGUGGCCAUUUUGGAAGCGGCCUGCCACCAUCUUGGGAGCUCUGGGAGGAAGAACCCCCUGGUAACACAAUCACUGAACAGCCCUUUGCUUCUGGCUCCCAACUUUCUGAAACACUCUGGGGAAGAUGGUUCUUCACCAAUCCUGCAAUCCAACAGCCACCCAGUAAAAUGAGGAACUGACAUUCUUCCCAGCCCUGUGAGCUAGACAAGUAGCUAGUGUCUCUUCUACAGCCAGGAGAUUGGAAGAAGCCAGCAGGCAAUGUAGUCAUUUGGUAAUGUUCUUCCUACUGCCAAGAUGGAUUAAUGCUGGGAGACCUUACAACGGGGCACAAACAGCUUUUAUGCAAGUUAUCUCUCAGGACAGGUGUGAGGGCUCUCCGCAAAGAAAGACUGAUCGCAUCCAAGGUCCUUUAUCCCUGAGAGGGCUUCCCAGGGAUGAGCAACCUGUUCUUCCACAGGGCUGCCAGACGCCCACAGUUUUCCCUGCUGUCUCUCAUCACAGCGGCGGUGGGGCGCGCUCGCCUCCAGCCUGGCUCCGGACGCGGGGUCCCGCCACCCCCAGCAGCGGUCGCAGAGAGCCUCCCUGUUACCCCUAAAGCUGCGGAUUGUAGUAUUCUAGCAAUGGAUGAAAUCCUUUAACCGACUGUAAUAAAAAUAAGAUUGUGAAUAACAUGUGAUUAUAGUAUAGAUCUCCAUAAAACUGGCGGCUGUGAAACCCAUACUUUAAGAAGCAUGGCCUCCCUCUCGAAGCGGCUUCCAGUGACGGUCCAGGAUCUAAUUCACCCUUUUUGGAUCUAAUUCACCCUUUUUGGCUCGGGUACUGGAACAGGUCUCGGC